Molecule: ribosomal RNA, 490 nt
Filed under: Amphigerontia jezoensis
Lineage: Eukaryota; Metazoa; Arthropoda; Insecta; Psocodea; Psocidae
Description: partial 16S ribosomal RNA
Rfam family: Bacterial large subunit ribosomal RNA (bases 368-490)
Source: RNAcentral
GUCUUUUUGGUAUUAUUUAAAGUCAAAUCUGCUCACUGAAGGGUUAAAGAGCCGCAGUAUACUGACUGUGCAAAGGUAGCAUAAUCAAUAGUUUUUUAAUUGAGAACUUGUAUGAAAGAUUAGACGAAGAAUAUAUUUUCUUUAUUUUAUUAAAUUUAAUUUUAAUUUUAAGUGAAAAUGCUUAAUUAAAUUUAAAAGACGAGAAGACCCUAUAGAUUUUUAUUAUUUAAAAAGUUUCUAUAAUUUGAACUGGUAAAAUAAUUUAAUUGGGGCGAUUUUUUAAUAUAAAAAACUUAAUUUUUUCUUACCAUUGAUUGUUGAAUUUUUUGAUCUAAAAUUUUUAAAAGAAAGAUUAAAUUACCUUAGGGAUAACAGCGUAAUUUUAUUUAAGAGCUCGUAUCUAUAAUAAAGCUUGCGACCUCGAUGUUGAAUUAAGAUAAUGUAUUGGAGUAGAAGUUAAUAUAAUUAGUCUGUUCGACUAUUAAAUUCU